GACGAACGCUGGCGGCGUGCUUAACACAUGCAAGUCGAACGGAAAGGCCCUGCUUUUGUGGGGUGCUCGAGUGGCGAACGGGUGAGUAACACGUGAGUAACCUGCCCUUGACUUUGGGAUACUUCAGGAAACUGGGGCUAAUACCGGAUAGGAGCUCCUGCUGCAUGGUGGGGGUUGGAAAGUUUCGGCGGUUGGGGAUGGACUCGCGGCUUAUCAGCUUGUUGGUGGGGUGGUGGCUUACCAAGGCUUUGACGGGUAGCCGGCCUGAGAGGGUGACCGGCCACAUUGGGACUGAGAUACGGCCCAGACUCCUACGGGAGGCAGCAGUGGGGAAUAUUGCACAAUGGGCGGAAGCCUGAUGCAGCAACGCCGCGUGCGGGAUGACGGCCUUCGGGUUGUAAACCGCUUUCGCCUGUGACGAAGCGUGAGUGACGGUAAUGGGUAAAGAAGCACCGGCUAACUACGUG
This 467-nucleotide ribosomal RNA is filed under the name uncultured bacterium. RNAcentral describes it as "partial 16S ribosomal RNA". It matches the Rfam family "Bacterial small subunit ribosomal RNA", at positions 28 to 507 of the family's 1533-position model. The record is from RNAcentral.